This 292-nucleotide ribosomal RNA is filed under the name uncultured bacterium. RNAcentral describes it as "partial 16S ribosomal RNA". It matches the Rfam family "Bacterial small subunit ribosomal RNA", at positions 505 to 796 of the family's 1533-position model. The record is from RNAcentral.
GUGCCAGCCGCCGCGGUAAGACGGACCAUCCAAACGUUAUUCGGAAUUACUGGGCUUAAAGGGUGCGUAGGCGGCGCGGAAAGUUGGGUGUGAAAUCCCUCGGCUUAACCGAGGAAUGGCGCUCAAAACUACCGUGCUUGAGGAAGACAGAGGUGAGCGGAACUUAGGGUGGAGCGGUGAAAUGCGUUGAUAUCCUAAGGAACACCGGUGGCGAAAGCGGCUCACUGGGUCUUUUCUGACGCUGAGGCACGAAAGCCAGGGUAGCGAACGGGAUUAGAAACCCUCGUAGUCC